Small nucleolar RNA from Nymphaea colorata (pocket water lily), 92 nucleotides. RefSeq annotates it as small nucleolar RNA snoR1. Lineage: Eukaryota; Viridiplantae; Streptophyta; Magnoliopsida; Nymphaeales; Nymphaeaceae. The transcript has a single exon. The record is from RefSeq and is a predicted model, not a curated record.
GGCCAUGAUGAUUGAAGCUUCUUCUGACACCUCUUGUACGAGAAUAGCCUUCAAAGUCUGUUCCUUGAGCAAGUAAAGCGAGUCUCUGAGCU